AUGGCUAAGAUCAAAACUCAGGUGACAGCAAAUGCUGGUGAGGAUGUGGAGAAAGAGGAACACUCCUCCAUUGUUGGGUUGUGUAUAUUCUGUGUGACUGUAACCCAGCUCUUGGAGGGUGGAGAAUCAGAAAUAAAAUAUUUUCCUCAACCACAUAACAAGUUUAAGUGUUUAGGAGGUUCUCGGCAUCCCAUCAUACUUCAGUGUUCUGCUCAUGUGCUGGAGAUACAGACCUGUGUUGGUACCUUCUUUCUGCAAGUGGGGAUGAAGGAUGCAAAGGAUGCUGGCUGA
This 291-nucleotide long non-coding RNA is filed under the name Rattus norvegicus (Norway rat). Its description in RNAcentral is "uncharacterized LOC100909680". Lineage: Eukaryota; Metazoa; Chordata; Mammalia; Rodentia; Muridae. The record is from RNAcentral.